RNAcentral lists this ribosomal RNA (253 nucleotides) under uncultured bacterium. RNAcentral describes it as "partial 16S ribosomal RNA". It matches the Rfam family "Bacterial small subunit ribosomal RNA", at positions 524 to 776 of the family's 1533-position model. The record is from RNAcentral.
UACGGAGGGGGCUAGCGUUGUUCGGAAUUACUGGGCGUAAAGCGCACGUAGGCGGCUUUGUAAGUUAGAGGUGAAAGCCCGGGGCUCAACUCCGGAAUUGCCUUUAAGACUGCAUCGCUAGAAUUGUGGAGAGGUAAGUGGAAUUCCGAGUGUAGAGGUGAAAUUCGUAGAUAUUCGGGAGAACACCAGUGGCGAAGGCGACUUACUGGACACAUAUUGACGCUGAGGUGCGAAAGCGUGGGGAGCAAACAGG